This 2933-nucleotide ribosomal RNA is filed under the name hot springs metagenome. RNAcentral's name for it is "bacterial LSU rRNA". It matches the Rfam family "Bacterial large subunit ribosomal RNA". The record is from RNAcentral.
GCAAGACGUGAUGCGCGGUCGGGGGAUGCCUCGGCACGACCAGCCGAUGAAGGACGCGGGCAAGCAGCGAUAGGGACGGGGAGGCGCAACCAGCCGGUGAUCCGUCCGUCUCCGAAUGGGGCAACCCGUCCAGCACUGCUGGACACCCGCCGGUACGCGCCGGCGGGAGGGCACCCGGCGAACUGAAACAUCUUAGUAGCCGGAGGACGCGGAAGACCGCCCGGAGUAGUGGCGAGCGAAACGGGCCGCUGCCUAAACCGAUGCCGUGCCAAGGGGGCAGCCGUUGCGGGAUCGGGGUUGUGAGACCAGCCGACGGGCCUGCCUGCCCGUCACCCUGCGCGCGUCCGCCGCCGGAAGCGCCUGGAACGGCGCACCACAGACGGUGACAGUCCGGUACGGGGGCGGCGCGCGCGGGGGGCUGCCAUCUCGAGUACCACGGGCCACGAGCAAGCCCGUGGGAAGCUGGGGGGACCACCCUCCAAGGCAACCUACUGGUCGUGACCGAUAGCGCAGAGUACCGUGAGGGAACGGUGAAAAGCACCCCGGCGAGGGGAGUGAAACAGAGCCUGAAACCGACCGCGUCCAUGCAGUCAGAGCGCUAGGCUCCCCAGGAGCAGGCGUGAUGGCGUGCCUUUUGGAGUAUGACCCGACGAGUUACUACGGGUCGCCUGCCUAAGCCAGGACCAGGCGGAGGCUGAGCGAACGCGAGUGUGCCAAGCGCGCACGUGGCUCGUAGUAGACCCGAAACCGUGUGAGCUACCCAUGGCCAGGCUGCAGCGGCCGUAACAGGCCGUGAAGGGCCGCACCGGUGUCUGUUGCAAAAGGCUCGGAGGAGCUGUGGGUAGGGGUGAAAUGCCAAACGAACACGGAGAUAGCUGGUUCUCCCCGAAAUGCAUUGCGGUGCAGCCGGCCACUGGUGGAUGGCGGGGGUAGAGCACUGUUGCGACGCGGGGGCUUCACCGCCUACCAACUCGCGGCAAACUGCGAAUACCGCCACCCGCGUGGACCGCGUGAGACGGCGCGUGCGAAUAUGCGUCGUCAAAAGGGCAACAACCCAGACCCGCCGCUAAGGUCCCCAAAUUGCGUCUGAGUAGGCAAGGAAGUGGCGCUGCCCAGACAACCAGGAGGUUGGCUUAGAAGCAGCCAUCCUUGAAAGAGUGCGUAAUAGCUCACUGGUCGAGGAGCGCCGCGCCGACAAUGUCACGGGGUUAAGGCGCGUACCGAAGCGCGGGAUCACCAGCGCUGCUGGUGGUGGUAGGGGAGCGUCGUCAGCGGGGUGAAGUCGGAGCGCAAGCCCCGGCGGACGGCUGACGAGUGCGAAUGUCGGGAUGAGUAACGCAAAGUGGGGUGCGAACCCCCACCGCCGAAUGCCCAAGGGUUCCGCUGCACGGACACUCCGCAGCGGGUUAGUCGGGCCUAAGCCGAGGCCGAAAGGCGUAGGUGAUGGACAGCUGGUGGACAUUCCAGCACCAGCGGGGGGCGGUGAACCCGGGGGUCCUGGGCGGGAUGGCGCGCGACCAGACGAGGGUCGUUCAAGCUGGUAGGCCGCACGGCUGAGAAGCGAGUACGAGCUGCGUCCUGCGGGACGGCGGCAAGGCGCCAGGACCUGGACAGGCACGAAACACCCCGAGGGGAGCUUCCCGCUGCCCGUACCGGACACCGACACUGGUGGGCAGGUUGAGGAAACCCAGGCGGACGAGCGAACCCUGGUCAAGGAACUCGGCAAAAUGAUCCCGUACCUUCGGAAGAAGGGAUGCUCCUGGCGGUGAAGCGCUGCGCGCGUGGAGCCGCGUGGGAGCCGCAGAGCCCAGGCCCAUGCGACUGGUUACCAGAACCUUAGGUCCCUGCGAAGGCGCAAGCCGACGUAUAGGGGCUGAUGCCUGCCCAGUGCCGGAAGGUUAAGGGGAGGGGUGCACGCCCUGAACCGAAGCCCCGGUCAACGGCGGCCGUAACUAUAACGGUCCUAAGGUAGCGAAAUUCCUUGUCGGGUAAGUUCCGACCCGCACGAAAGGCAUAACGACAUGGGCACUGUCUCGACCAGGGGCUCGGUGAAAUUGAAGUGGCGGUGAAGAUGCCGCCAACCCACACCCGGACAAAAAGACCCCGUGGAGCUUUACUCUAGCUUGCCACUGGGUAGGCGAUGGGGCUGCGUAGGAUAGGUGGGAGCCGGAGAAGCCGCCCUUGCGGGGGUGGUGGAGGCGCCGGUGAAAUACCACUCUGCCGCAUGGCCUGCCCUCACCGCCCGUGACAGCGGGGGGGACCGUGGCUGGUGGGGAGUUUGACUGGGGCGGUCGCCUCCCAAAAGGUAACGGAGGCGCCCAAGGGUUCCCUCAGGGUGGAUGGCAAUCACCCGUGGCGUGCAAGGGCACAAGGGAGCUUGACUGCAAGGCGGACAGGCCGCGCAGGGACGAAAGUCGGGCCUAGUGAUCCUACGGUACCGCGUGGAAGGGCCGUAGCGUACCGGAUAAAAGCUACCCCGGGGAUAACAGGCUGAUCCUGCCCAAGAGUUCAGAUCGACGGCAGGGUUUGGCACCUCGAUGUCGGCUCGUCGCAUCCUGGGGCUGGAGCCGGUCCCAAGGGUUGGGCUGUUCGCCCAUGAAAGCGGCACGCGAGCUGGGUUCAGAACGUCGUGAGACAGUUCGGUCUCUAUCCGGUGUGGGCGCCUAGGUGCUUGCGUGGGGCUGGCCCUAGUACGAGAGGACCGGGCUGGACGACCCGCUGGUGGAGCAGUUGUGGGGCGACCCGCAGGCUGCGUAGCUACGGUCGGAAGGGAGAAGCGCUGAAUGCAUCUAAGUGCGAACCCCGCCACUAGACGAGGCACCUCGCCGGCAAGGACGGGUAAGGGCGCGGCGAGACGAGCCGUGGACCGACCGGCGGUGGACGCCCGGCGACGGGUGCAGCCGACCGGCACGGACGCCCGAGUGGCUUGCCUG